GGUAAAAUGGCUGAGUUAUAGGCGAUAAAUUGUAAAUUUAUUUAGGAGAUUUAUCUCUUUUAUCA
This 65-nucleotide transfer RNA is filed under the name Pseudokuzicus pieli. RNAcentral describes it as "tRNA-Tyr". RNAcentral also lists the same sequence under 1 other name. Lineage: Eukaryota; Metazoa; Arthropoda; Insecta; Orthoptera; Tettigoniidae. The record is from RNAcentral.